AUUGAACGCUGGCGGCAUGCUUUACACAUGCAAGUCGAACGGUAACAGGUUAAGCUGACGAGUGGCGAACGGGUGAGUAAUGCAUCGGAACGUGCCCGAUCGUGGGGGAUAACGCAGCGAAAGCUGCGCUAAUACCGCAUACGAUCUGAGGAUGAAAGCGGGGGACCGUAAGGCCUCGCGCGAUCGGAGCGGCCGAUGUCAGAUUAGGUAGUUGGUGGGGUAAAGGCCCACCAAGCCGACGAUCUGUAGCUGGUCUGAGAGGACGACCAGCCACACUGGGGCUGAGACACGGCCGAGACUCCUACGGGAGGCAGCAGUGGGGAAUUUUGGACAAUGGGCGAAAGCCUGAUCCAGCAAUGCCGCGUGCAGGAAGAAGGCCUUCGGGUUGUAAACUGCUUUUGUACGGAGCGAAAAGGUCCUUUCUAAUACAAGGGGCUCAUGACGGUACCGUAAGAAUAAGCACCGGCUAACUACGUGCCAGCAGCCGCCGUAA
This 493-nucleotide ribosomal RNA is filed under the name uncultured bacterium. Its description in RNAcentral is "partial 16S ribosomal RNA". It matches the Rfam family "Bacterial small subunit ribosomal RNA", at positions 29 to 523 of the family's 1533-position model. The record is from RNAcentral.